CCUACGGGAGGCUGCAGUAGGGAAUUUUCGUCAAUGGGCGCAAGCCUGAACGAGCGAUGCCGCGUGAGUGAAGAAGGCCUUCGGGUCGUAAAGCUCUGUUGCGGGGGAAAAAAGGCAGCAUCAGGAAAUGGGUGCUGACUGAUGGUGCCCCGCCAGAAAGUCACGGCGAACUCCGUGCCAGCCGCCGCGGUAAUACGUAGGUGGCGUGCGUUAUCCGGAAGGAUUGGGCGUAAAGGGGGCGCAGGCGGUACUGCAAGUCUGGAGUGAAACGCAUGAGCCCAACGCAUGCAUGGCUGUGGAAACUGGAGGACGGGAGAGCAGGAGAGGGCGGUGGAACGCGAGGUGUAGCGGUAAAAUGCGUAGAUAUAGGGAAGAACACCAGUGGCGAAGGCGGCCGCCUGGCCUGUUGCUGACGCUGAGGCACGAAAGCGUGGGGAGCAAAUAGGAUUAGAUACCCCAGUAGUC
RNAcentral lists this ribosomal RNA (465 nucleotides) under uncultured bacterium. RNAcentral describes it as "partial 16S ribosomal RNA". It matches the Rfam family "Bacterial small subunit ribosomal RNA", at positions 338 to 795 of the family's 1533-position model. The record is from RNAcentral.